This 284-nucleotide ribosomal RNA is filed under the name uncultured bacterium. Its description in RNAcentral is "partial 16S ribosomal RNA". It matches the Rfam family "Bacterial small subunit ribosomal RNA", at positions 338 to 618 of the family's 1533-position model. The record is from RNAcentral.
CCUACGGGAGGCAGCAGUGAGGAAUAUUGGUCAAUGGGCGCAAGCCUGAACCAGCCAAGUCGCGUGAGGGAUGACGGUCCUAUGGAUUGUAAACCUCUUUUGUCGGGGAGCAAGGCCCGCCACGUGUGGCGGGAAGGAGAGUACCCGCAGAAAAAGCAUCGGCGAACUCCGUGCCAGCAGCCGCGGGAAUACGGAGGAUGCGAGCGGUAUCCGGAUUUAUUGGGGUUAAAGGGGGCGUAGGCGGAAGGGUAAGGCAGCGGUCAAAAGUCGGUGCUCAACACCGG